UUAGAAAACCCUAAGAAAGAAACAGCUCCGACGCCGGAGUUGAGAUCGUCCAAGAUGCAGAUUUCCGUGAAGACUCUCACCGGAAAGACCAUAACCCUAGAUUUAAGUCAACCGACACCGUUGACAAUGUCAAGGACAAGGAAGGAAUUCCUCCGGACCAGCAAAGACUGAUCUUUGCCGAGACGCAGCCGGAGGAUGGUCGUAAUUUGUCCGAUUACAACAUUCAGAAAGGAUGUCGUGUUCUUGUAUCCAGAAUCAACCCUCCAUCUCGUUCCGAGGCUCCGUCGUGGUAGCCGUCUUUGAUGACUUUGGUGCUACAGAGUAUAACCAGGACAAGAUGAUUUGCCGCAACUGGGGCCAAAGAAGAAACAAGAUUAAGUAGUCUCAAUGUCAGGAAAGGACCCUCGACAUUCACUUAUGUCUGGAAAAUGAUAUGAACCGUCCUGCGAGAUGAUUCCGCGAUGGCAUUUUCUAGCUGAAGCUGUUCAUCGGAAGUGGGUCUCUAUGCGUUUCACCGCCUUUAUUCCUGGUAUCGGAACUGUCACUUUGUGGCAGCCUCCCCUCGCUCUCGAGAUGUUUCCAUUCUCAGGCCAAACUCAUCAAAACAUUCUCAUGUGAAUCAGAAGACCUUGAUGUUUCCGGACAUAAGCAAGAGUCGAGGAAUUUUGCUUGUUUUGAUGGUGGCAAAGAGAACAGACCCUGAAAUUGUCUGAUGAUCUUUCCGAGAAGCUUUUCACUUUGACCAUUAAACCUACCAGUAUCGAAGAUAUUGAUGUCGUUUUCCAUAGCCAAGUCAAAAAGCUUGCUGAAACAUGCCGUCCAUGGAGGUCGGGUAGCCCCAAAGAAGCUCCUCCAUUGCAUGGAAGAUUCUACUUUUUAGCUCUAUAGUAGUUGCAGAUACACAUGCGCAUAUGUAUGUGUGUAUGUUGCUGUUGUUGCGUAUAUGUAUACACACCUUUUGCCAUGGCCAAAAGAAGAGGGAGCUUGACGGGUUUGAAUAAUUGCUUAAAAAAGGGUCAAAUAACGUGUGGAUGAAUGUGUUUGUGGUCGAUCACGUGUUAAAGCCGUCGAUAAGGGUCGAA
Tarenaya hassleriana is the source of this 1082-nucleotide long non-coding RNA. RefSeq lists it as uncharacterized. Lineage: Eukaryota; Viridiplantae; Streptophyta; Magnoliopsida; Brassicales; Cleomaceae. The record is from RefSeq and is a predicted model, not a curated record. The transcript has 4 exons.